This is a long non-coding RNA of Balaenoptera musculus (blue whale), 2391 nucleotides long. RefSeq lists it as uncharacterized. NCBI's taxonomy places the organism in Eukaryota, Metazoa, Chordata, Mammalia, Artiodactyla, Balaenopteridae. The record is from RefSeq and is a predicted model, not a curated record. The transcript is spliced from 3 exons.
CUGGGAAGUCAAAACCAAUAUGAGUAUCAUGAUAUAAAGAAUCUAUUAUAGGAAGACGUUACACAAAUGGGGAGAAGUUGGAGAGAAGUCCAAAAGGACGAGUUGAAAGAUCAGAUAGAAACCACCAGCCUUCUGAUACACUAUACAAGAGGACAAAUGAUAACUUACAGGAAAACCUGGAAGCUAAGCACGUCCAGAUGCUGAAGUUAAAUUACUAAGGAGAGCCAACAGAAAGUCCAGCUUGGGGUAGCUGCCGGUCAGCAGGACCAGCAUUUGGGAAGAAGAGCUGGACCCAUGGUGGGGGAUGAAGCAAGGACAUGGCAGAAUCCAUUGGCAUCUCUGCAUCUAACUAUGAAAACCUUCAGGGCAUGAUGGCUACAGCUUCCCCUACACCUUUCAAAAACCUCGUGUGAAUUUCUCUUUUGGUCAACUUCCAUCUAGAACCAUAAGUGGGAGAUUCUGGGAAAAUCCUUCCAAACUAGCCAAGUUGACAAGUGAUCAAUACAGCCCCCCACCACAAUCAUUCUCUGUUUAAGGUCACACGCUUUGGGUGGGUGCUUCAUCACUGUGAUUCCAGACGUGGAGUAUAAGAUGGAUGCCUGGUCAAACAGCCUAUCCAAUUCCUUGAGCCACAGUGAUUGGUCAGGGAUGUUACGAGCUGCAAGCUGGUCCUAUCAGAGUCAAUCUUAGGAUGCAACUGUGAGCUUCCUGGAAUAUAAACUCUUUUCUUCUGGAUGUGAGUCUGGAAAAAUGUACGCUGAAACUAUUGUGGCAUCUGCAAUUGGUAUAUACACAUAUAUACACAAUGGAAUAUUACUCAGCCAUGAAAAGGAAGGAAACAACACCAUUUGCAGCAGCAUAGAUGGACCUGUAGAUCAUCAUACUAAAUGAAGUGAGAAAGUCUUCAAAUAUAAGAUUCAUGUCGUCUUUGAAGAUGAUCUUAAAGUGAUUUGUUCAUAUUAGGUAACAAUAUUUGUUACCUAAUUUGUUCAAAUUAGGUAACUCCACUUUGUGGAGUGAAUGAAUAUGAAAAAAGGAAAAAUUAAAGUGAAUUAAGAAGUGGAUUUCACCUCAUAGAAUAAGGUAUACUCAGCAAGUCUUCUGUGUCUGGAAGGGGUGAAUUUCAAAUAUUACCGUUUCCGUAGGCUUUGAAAAAUUAAUUCAGUCACAAGACCCCAGUAUCUACCCCAGUUCUACUUGGUCCUUUGCAAAUGAAGUUAUUCUGAGAACAGAAACAUUUUGUUUUGUUACUGGAGAUUUUCUCCUCAAGGGUGGCUGUCAGAAUAAAUUGGGGUUAUGCUACAGCCACAACUCGAAAAUCUCAGGGGCUUAGAACAAUACAAAUAUACUUACUGUGCAUGUGACAUUUCCAAAGCAAAUUAGCAAUGGGACUUUGUUCUUUAUAGUCAAUCAGGAACCCAGGUAGAUGGAGGUCGCAUCUCAAAAUGUGAAUCCACCAUCACAGUGUAAAGAAGGUAGCAUCAUGGCAAACCGUGCCCUGGUUCUUCAAGCUGCCACCUGGAAGCGAUGCACAUCCUAUGUUUCAUGGCCCGUGCAAGUCACAUGACCACAUCUCCCAUCAGGGAGGCAGGGAUGUGCACACACUGUGCAAAUUCUGAGAAAUGAUGGAUGGGAUUUAUUUCCAUGUGAAAUCAUCCACAUGUACAUAAUUUUCAACAUCCCAGUAUGGACUCCCUUCUCUUGAGGUCUAUUUCUUAUACGUGUAUCUGAACCCUUUGCCCAUAAAUUGUUUCCCAGAACACAUGCUUCCUAUCACUCCAUACCCACAACUGAAAGAGUGAAAGAGAGAGAGAGAGAGAGAGAGAGAGAGCGCAGGAGAGAGGCUACCCACAGCUAAGCUACACUUAGCUACUUUCUUAUUCCUGUUCUGACCAUAUAAUAUAGCAGAUAAUUAUGGUGCAAGUGAUUUCCACUCCUCGUAGGUGAUCAUACUUGAGAUUCUAUUGAUUUCUUCACCUUGGGGAUGUAAAGAGAGCACCUUUUACCUAUUAGUAGGGGGUUAACAAGUUUCUGCAGAAUAAAAAUUCUUUGGACAUUUUAAUUGCUAUUUUCAGCAAAUACAAAGCAAACUGGUACAUGUUCCCUGGGGUGAGUGGGGGACUCAAUAAAUUUAUUGAGUGGUGAGAAUAGAAUGAUUAAAACUAUAAAGUAAAUGCUUACAUUUGGAAAAUGGGAUCUUGUUCCACAAGUUCUGAGUAAUAAGAACUCUAAUUUCUUUUAGUUAUCAUGCAUGACACGAAAUAUAUAAUUUAUUGUGAAAUGGACUGCCCCAAAUAGGUCAUGUUGUUAUCUUUACGGCAAAAUUUGAACUCUAGCAGAUACAAGCUCCAUGCUCACUUUUGGCAUUAUUCUAACAUUAUUUUUGUUUUU